UGGGGAAUAUUGGACAAUGGGGGCAACCCUGAUCCAGCAAUGCCGCGUGGGUGAAGAAGGCCUUCGGGUUGUAAAGCCCUUUUGUACGGGAAGAAAAGCUUCGGAUUAAUACUUCGAGGUCAUGACGGUACCGUAAGAAUAAGCACCGGCUAACUUCGUGCCAGCAGCCGCGGUAAUACGAAGGGUGCAAGCGUUAAUCGGAAUUACUGGGCGUAAAGCGCGCGUAGGCGGCUUUGUAAGUCAGAGGUGAAAGCCUGGAGCUCAACUCCAGAACUGCCUUUGAGACUGCAUCGCUAGAAUCAUGGAGAGGUUAGUGGAAUUCCGAGUGUAGAGGUGAAAUUCGUAGAUAUUCGGAAGAACACCAGUGGCGAAGGCGACUAACUGGACAUGUAUUGACGCUGAGGUGCGAAAGCGUGGGGAGCAAAC
Molecule: ribosomal RNA, 426 nt
Filed under: uncultured bacterium
Lineage: Bacteria
Description: bacterial SSU rRNA
Rfam family: Bacterial small subunit ribosomal RNA
Source: RNAcentral